AGGACGAACGCUGGCGGCGCGCCUAACACAUGCAAGUCGAGCGAGAACCAGGGCUUGCCCUGGGGACAGCGGCGAACGGGUGCGUAACACGUGAGCAACCUGCCCCAAAGACCGGGACAACCCGAGGAAACUCGGACUAAUACCGGAUGCCCUCACCGGGUCGCAUGGUCUGGUGAGGAAAUGGAUUCCGCUUUGGGAUGGGCUCGCGGUCUAUCAGCUUGUUGGUGGGGUAACGGCCUACCAAGGCGACGACGGAUAGCUGGUCUGAGAGGACGAUCAGCCACACUGGGACUGAGACACGGCCCAGACUCCUACGGGAGGCAGCAGUGGGGAAUCUUGCGCAAUGGGGGAAACCCUGACGCAGCGACGCCGCGUGCGGGAUGAAGGCCUUCGGGUUGUAAACCGCUUUCAGCAGGGACGAAAUUGACGGUACCUGCAGAAGAAGGCCCGGCCAACUACGCGCCAGCAGCCGC
RNAcentral lists this ribosomal RNA (473 nucleotides) under uncultured bacterium. RNAcentral's name for it is "SSU rRNA". It matches the Rfam family "Bacterial small subunit ribosomal RNA", at positions 26 to 518 of the family's 1533-position model. The record is from RNAcentral.